UACGUAGGGUGCAAGCGUUGUCCGGAUUUAUUGGGUUUAAAGGGUGCGUAGGCGGGCUAUUAAGUCAGUGGUGAAAUCCAGCAGCUUAACUGUUGAUGUGCCAUUGAUACUGGUAGCCUUGAGUACAGAUGAGGUAGGCGGAAUUGACAGUGUAGCGGUGAAAUGCAUAGAGAUUGUCAAGAACUCCGAUAGCGAAGGCAGCUUACUGGGCUGUAACUGACGCUGAUGCACGAAAGUGUGGGGAUCAAACAGG
This 253-nucleotide ribosomal RNA is filed under the name uncultured bacterium. Its description in RNAcentral is "partial 16S ribosomal RNA". It matches the Rfam family "Bacterial small subunit ribosomal RNA", at positions 524 to 776 of the family's 1533-position model. The record is from RNAcentral.